AGCGAACGCUGGCGGCAUGCUUAACACAUGCAAGUCGCACGGUCAGCAAUGGCAGUGGCGGACGGGUGAGUAACGCGUAGGUAUCUGUCUCUGGGUGGGGGAUAACCAGUGGGAAACUAUGGCUAAGUACCGCAUGAAACCCGAGGGUCAAAGGCGCAAGUCGCCUGGAGAGGAGCCUGCGUACGAUUAGCUUGUUGGUGAGGUAAUGGCUCGACCAAGGCGACGAUCGUUAGCUGGUCUGAGAGGAUGAUCAGCCACACUGGGACUGAGACACGGCCCAGACU
This 284-nucleotide ribosomal RNA is filed under the name uncultured bacterium. RNAcentral describes it as "partial 16S ribosomal RNA". It matches the Rfam family "Bacterial small subunit ribosomal RNA", at positions 29 to 337 of the family's 1533-position model. The record is from RNAcentral.